RNAcentral lists this ribosomal RNA (550 nucleotides) under uncultured bacterium. RNAcentral describes it as "bacterial SSU rRNA". It matches the Rfam family "Bacterial small subunit ribosomal RNA", at positions 15 to 539 of the family's 1533-position model. The record is from RNAcentral.
GAUCCUGGCUCAAGAUGAACGCUGGCGGCGUGCUUAACACAUGCAAGUCGAACGGAACACCCUUGAAGGAGUUUUCGGACAACUGAUAGGACUGUUUAGUGGCGGACGGGUGAGUAACGCGUGAGUAACCUGCCUUGGAGUGGGGAAUAACAGCUGGAAACAGCUGCUAAUACCGCAUGAUGCAGUUGGGUCGCAUGGCUCUGACUGCCAAAGAUUUAUCGCUCUGAGAUGGACUCGCGUCUGAUUAGCUAGUUGGCGGGGUAACGGCCCACCAAGGCGACGAUCAGUAGCCGGACUGAGAGGUUGGCCGGCCACAUUGGGACUGAGACACGGCCCAGACUCCUACGGGAGGCAGCAGUGGGGAAUAUUGGGCAAUGGGCGCAAGCCUGACCCAGCAACGCCGCGUGAAGGAAGAAGGGUUUCGGCUCGUAAAGCUCUGUUGGUAGUGAAGAAAGAUAGAGGUAGUAACUGGCCUUUAUUUGACGGUAAUUACUUAGAAAGUCACGGCUAACUACGUGCCAGCAGCCGCGGUAAUACGUAAGUGGCAAGC